Molecule: ribosomal RNA, 593 nt
Filed under: uncultured bacterium
Lineage: Bacteria
Description: bacterial SSU rRNA
Rfam family: Bacterial small subunit ribosomal RNA
Source: RNAcentral
GCCCUUAGAGUUUGAUCCUGGCUCAGAUUGAACGCUGGCGGCAUGCCUUACACAUGCAAGUCGAACGGUAACAGGUCUUCGGAUGCUGACGAGUGGCGAACGGGUGAGUAAUACAUCGGAACGUGCCCGAUCGUGGGGGAUAACGAGGCGAAAGCUUUGCUAAUACCGCAUACGAUCUACGGAUGAAAGCGGGGGAUCUUCGGACCUCGCGCGGACGGAGCGGCCGAUGGCAGAUUAGGUAGUUGGUGGGAUAAAAGCUUACCAAGCCGACGAUCUGUAGCUGGUCUGAGAGGAUGAUCAGCCACACUGGGACUGAGACACGGCCCAGACUCCUACGGGAGGCAGCAGUGGGGAAUUUUGGACAAUGGGCGAAAGCCUGAUCCAGCCAUGCCGCGUGCAGGAUGAAGGCCUUCGGGUUGUAAACUGCUUUUGUACGGAACGAAAAGCCUCUUUCUAAUAAAGGGGGUGAAUGACGGUACCGUAAGAAUAAGCACCGGCUAACUACGUGCCAGCAGCCGCGGUAAUACGUAGGGUGCAAGCGUUAAUCGGAAUUACUGGGCGUAAAGCGUGCGCAGGCGGUUAUGUAAGACAGA